Molecule: long non-coding RNA, 1839 nt
Organism: Rhinopithecus roxellana (golden snub-nosed monkey)
Lineage: Eukaryota; Metazoa; Chordata; Mammalia; Primates; Cercopithecidae
Exons: 3
Source: RefSeq, a predicted model, not a curated record
GUAGCCUCGACCUGGGAUCAAGCAAUCCUCCCACCUCAGCCUCCCGAGGAGCUGGGCCUACAGGAGUCAGAGCCUGACAAAGUGAAGAGAUGAUGCCGUGACUAGGAGGGUGGCUGGAGAGUCCCCCAUCACUGCUAGUAUGGGAACGAUGAUGGUUUGCAGAGAGGAGGUGUGGAUAGAAGGGCCAUCAGAAAAGAGGAGGGAAGAGCUGGAGCUGUGAAGAAAGAUGAGAUCACUGAGAGCUGCUGACUCCCAAAGAAUCAGAAGGAGGCCCUGCUCUGAGGCUUGUGGGUGAGCCUGGUGACCCUCCUUUCUUCUGAAGUGUCAUGCCUUCUCAUUUUUACGUAGUUGUGGCUACUCUUUGGGGAAAGUGUGGCUUCUUUUCUCUUUCUGCACAGAAGCAAUGCGAGGUUAUAGACUCUGGAAUAUAACCAGAAUAUGGACUCUGGAAUAUGGCCAGAAGGAGCCACGAGAAGGGUAGGGGAAAUGUCUGUUUUACAGAAGAGGACCCUGAAUCUUAGGCAGCUUGCCGAGGCCACAGAGCUCACAGGGGAAUUUAGUUUAUUGCCUUCCAGCUUGGAAUUCUUUGUUACACAAGUGUUGAGGCUCAGAAAAUAAUGCCCCAAAUGUGGCAUUUGACGAGCUGAACUAAAGCAGCAGCCUCAAGCUCUCUCUCUUGACUUUCCCCCACCAUGGUGUCUUUCUAACUCUUUCUUUUCUUUCUUUUUUUUUUUUUUUUGACACUCUUCUAAAGCACCAGGAGCAUGCUGUCUCUCUGACCCUUUUCCUUUCCUUUUUCUUGGACCCUUUCUUUUUCUAAAGCACCAGGAGGAUCUCUUUCUCUGGAAGUUCCCUUACCUGAUUGAGAAAACUUCUUCUAAAAUAAAUGCAGUUGUCUUAAAGCCCCCUCCCUAUGAAUCUCAUUAAAUAACCAGGAAUGAUUAAUCACCCAAGAAAAGACUAAAAAAGAAGCUACAGCCAGGAUACCAUACCAGACAGACUUUUUAUCUUUUCUUCUGAGGGCAGUUCCAAGAGAUAACCUGGGAGACUGUAUCCACAUAAUAAGACAAUCUUGGUUCACAGUGCAGUACCACCCCUCACCUUUCAUGACUUGUCCACAAGCUAUUGUUUGUCCUUCAGUCCCAUUCAGCAUCCAAAGAAAACCAUUUACAAACCACUGUCAGGUCUUUGGGUCCAUUCAUUUACAGCCCCCACUUCCCUUUCCCCAGUGAAGAGAGUACUUAAGUGCCAACCAUUGGGCCUUUCUGUGUAUGUUCAUAUUUUUUAUAUGGCUCCCCUGCUUCAUGCAUGUUAAUAAAUUUGUUAUAUUUUUCUCCUGUUAACCUGUCUUUUAUUAUAAGAGUAUUGGCUAUGACCCUUAAUAGGAUGGAAGAAAGAGAUCACCCAUUUCCACUCUUGCACCAGGCUACUCCUAACCACACUCUCAGAAACACAUUCUCAUGACCAGGUGCAGUGGCUCACACCUGUAAUCCCAGCACUUCGGGAGACCAAGAUGGAUGGAUCACUUGAGCCCAGGAGUUCAAGACCAGCCUGGGCAACAUAGUGAGACCCCAUCUCUAAAAAUGGAAGAAGGAGGAAAAAAACACUCUCAAAAAAUAACUCUGAAAUUACUUUCUGUAGUGGGCAUGUGCCCUGACCCCAUGUCAGUGCUUACGGUUGGCAGAUCAGCUUUCUUUGGCUGACAUUUGUGCAGUUACACAUACUUCUACAGAUUGGAAAUUACAGGCUGGGUGCGGUGGCUCAUGCCUGUAAUCCCAGUACUUUGGGAGGCAGAGGUGGGCAGAUCACUUGAGGUCAGGAGUUCCAGACAAGGCUGGC